RNAcentral lists this unclassified non-coding RNA (337 nucleotides) under Spizellomyces sp. RNAcentral describes it as "partial internal transcribed spacer region". The stretch from base 1 to 46 matches the Rfam family "Eukaryotic small subunit ribosomal RNA", at positions 1786 to 1831 of the family's 1831-position model. The record is from RNAcentral. Lineage: Eukaryota; Fungi; Chytridiomycota; Chytridiomycetes; Spizellomycetales; Spizellomycetaceae.
AAGUCGUAACAAGGUAACCGUAGGUGAACCUGCGGUUGGAUCAUUAAAAAGAUCAGAAGCCCGCUGGAGGAUGUCCUCUAGUAGGCGUUUUCUCAUCCGGAAGGGGAGGGGACCUCCAAGUCUUCGAACCGGAAGGGUGCGGAGAAUCACAUCAUGUGAACCGUUCUGUCUCUGGCGGUGGGAUGGCUUCAAACCCCAUCUGUCAGCCUGGUGUCAAAAGCCAGCGCCGUGGACAAACCGCCAAAUUAUUAAACAACUUGUAAUUCUAACUUUGAGUCUGACUUCAGUUUAUAUUAAAUUAUACAAACAACUUUUGGCAACGGAUCUCUUGGCUCUC